CAAAAAUCAGCCCCCGAAGGUCGGGGUCCCAAGACCCCCCAGCGGAAAAAUGGCCAAGAAACGGGUGGGCUAUAGCCUUGGUGGGGGGCGUGGGCGAAGUUCGUCCGCGGGACUCGGAAUGGCCCCAGACUUGGCGGGCGGCCUCUGUGUGCCAAAAAUAGGCCACGGGCACAGCCGCGCCCAAAAAUCAGCCCCCGAAGGUCAGGGUCCCAAGACCCCCCAGCGGAAAAAUGGCCAAGAAACGCGUGGGCUAUAGCCUUGGUGGGGGGCGUGGGCGAAGUUCGUCCGCGGGACUCGGAAUGGCCCCAGACUUGGCGGGCGGCCUCCGUGUGCCAAAAAUAGGCCACGGGCACAGCCGCGCCCAAAAAUCAGCCCCCGUAGGUCGGGGUCCCAAGACCCCCCAGCGGAAAAAUAGCCAAGAAACGGGUGGGCUAUAGCCUUGGUGGGGGGCGUGGGCGAAGUUCGUCCGCGGGACUCGGAAUGGCCCCAGACUUGGCGGGCGGCCUCCGUGUGCCAAAAAUAGGCCACGGGCACAGCCGCGCCCAAAAAUCAGCCCCCGAAGGUCGGGGUCACAAGACCCCCCAGCGGAAAAAAGGCCAAGAAACGCGUGGGCUAUAGCCUUGGUGGGGGGCGUGGGCGAAGUUCGUCCGCGGGACUCGGAAUGGCCCCAGACUUGGCGGGCGGCCUCCGUGUGCCAAAAAUAGGCCACGGGCACAGCCGCGCCCAAAAAUCAGCCCCCGAAGGUCGGGGUCCCAAGACCCCCCAGCGGAAAAAUGGCCAAGAAACGGGUGGGCUAUAGCCUUGGUGGGGGGCGUGGGCGAAGUUCGUCCGCGGGACUCAGAAUGGCCCCAGACUUGGCGGGCGGCCUCCGUGUGCCAAAAAUAGGCCACGGGCACAGCCGCGCCCAAAAAUCAGCCCCCGAAGGUCGGGGUCACAAGACCCCCCAGCGGAAAAAAGGCCAACAAACGCGUGGGCUAUAGCCUUGGUGGGGGGCGUGGGCGAAGUUCGUCCGCGGGACUCGGAAUGGCCCCAGACUUGGCAGGCGGCCUCCGUGUGCCAAAAAUAGGCCACGGGCACAGCCGCGCCCAAAAAUCAGCCCCCGAAGGUCGGGGUCACAAGACCCCCCAGCGGAAAAAAUGGCCAAGAAACGCGUGGGCUAUAGCCUUGGUGGGGGGCGUGGGGGAAGUUCGUCCACGGGACUCGGAAUGGCCCCAGACUUGGCGGGCGGCCUCCGUGUGCCAAAAAUAGGCCACGGGCACAGCCGCGCCCAAAAAUCAGCCCCCGAAGGUCGGGGUCCCAAGACCCCCCAGCGGAAAAAUGGCCAAGAAACGGGUGGGCUAUAGCCUUGGUGGGGGGCGUGGGCGAAGUUCGUCCGCGGGACUCGGAAUGGCCCCAGACUUGGCGGGCGGCCUCCGUGUGCCAAAAAUAGGCCACGGACACAGCCGCGCCCAAAAAUCAGCCCCCGAAGGUCGGGGUCCCAAGACCCCCCAGCGGAAAAAUGGCCAAGAAACGCGUGGGCUAUAGCCUUGGUGGGGGGCGUGGGCGAAGUUCGUCCGCGGGACUCGGAAUGGCCCCAGACUUGGCGGGCGGCCUCCGUGUGCCAAAAAUAGGCCACGGGCACAGCCGCGCCCAAAAAUCAACCCCCGAAGGUCGGGGUCCCAAGACCCCCCAGCGGAAAAAUAGCCAAGAAACGGGUGGGCUAUAGCCUUGGUGGGGGGCGUGGGCGAAGUUCGUCCGCGGGACUCGGAAUGGCCCCAGACUUGGCGGGCGGCCUCCGUGUACCAAAAAUAGGCCACGGGCACAGCCGCGCUCAAAAAUCAGCCCCCGAAGGUCGGGGUCACAAGACCCCCCAGCGGAAAAAAGGCCAAGAAACGCGUGGGCUAUAGCCUUGGUGGGGGGCGUGGGCGAAGUUCGUCCGCGGGACUCGGAAUGGCCCCAGACUUGGCGGGCGGCCUCCGUGUGCCAAAAAUAGGCCACGGGCACAGCCGCGCCCAAAAAUCAGCCCCCGAAGGUCGGGGUCACAAGACCCCCCAGCGGAAAAAAGGCCAAGAAACGCGUGGGCUAUAGCCUUGGUGGGGGGCAUGGGCGAAGUUCGUCCGCGGGACUCGAAAUGGCCCCAGACUUGGCGGGCGGCCUCCGUGUGCCAAAAAUAGGCCACGGGCACAGCCGCGCCCAAAAAUCAGCCCCCGAAGGUCGGGGUCACAAGACCCCCCAGCGGAAAAAAGGCCAAGAAACGCGUGGGCUAUAGCAUUGGUGGGGGGCGUGGGCGAAGUUCGUCCGCGGGACUCGGAAUGGCCCCAGACUUGGCGGGCGGCCUCCGUGUGCCAAAAAUAGGCCACGGGCACAGCCGCGCCCAAAAAUCAGCCCCCGAAGGUCGGGGUCACAAGACCCCCCAGCGGAAAAAAGGCCAAGAAACGCGUGGGCUAUAGCCUUGGUGGGGGGCGUGGGCGAAGUUCGUCCGCGGGACUCGGAAUGGCCCCAGACUUGGCGGGCGGCCUCCGUGUGCCAAAAAUAGGCCACGGGCACAGCCGCGCCCAAAAAUCAGCCCCCGAAGGUCGGGGUCACAAGACCCCCCAGCGGAAAAAAGGCCAAGAAACGCGUGGGCUAUAGCAUUGGUGGGGGGCGUGGGCGAAGUUCGUCCGCGGGACUCGGAAUGGCCCCAGACUUGGCGGUCGGCCUCCGUGUGCCAAAAAUAGGCCACGGGCAUAGCCGCGCCCAAAAAUCAGCCCCCGAAGGUCGGGGUCACAAGACCCCCCAGCGGAAAAAAGGCCAAAAAACGCAUGGGCUAUAGCCUUGGUGGGGGGCGUGGGCGAAGUUCGUCCGCGGGACUCGGAAUGGCCCCAGACUUGGCGGGCGGCCUCCGUGUGCCAAAAAUAGGCCACGGGCACAGCCGCGCCCAAAAAUCAGCCCCCGAAGGUCGGGGUCCCAAGACCCCCCAGCGGAAAAAUGGCCAAAAAACGGGUGGGCUAUAGCCUUGGUGGGGGGCGUGGGCGAAGUUCGUCCGCGGGACUCGGAAUGGCCCCAGACUUGGCGGGCGGCCUCC
Molecule: long non-coding RNA, 3043 nt
Filed under: Citrus x clementina
Lineage: Eukaryota; Viridiplantae; Streptophyta; Magnoliopsida; Sapindales; Rutaceae
Description: Citrus clementina (C. clementina) long non-coding RNA (CCLE_LNC001646)
Source: RNAcentral